AAUAAUUGCUUAGACAUUUUUUUAUGUUGAUAGGUUCUGAUUGGCUGUUGAAGUCAGAGAAGCAGGAAGUGAUUUUAGUUACCUGAGUUGCGUUCUCGAACUUUCUGCAGUGCAGACGUCUUUUUUCCCCUUUUAAUAAACUGCAUUAAAGGA
Long non-coding RNA from Hippocampus comes (tiger tail seahorse), 153 nucleotides. RefSeq lists it as uncharacterized. The transcript has 2 exons. The record is from RefSeq and is a predicted model, not a curated record. NCBI's taxonomy places the organism in Eukaryota, Metazoa, Chordata, Actinopteri, Syngnathiformes, Syngnathidae.